UUACUUACCUUGCAGGGAAGACACCAUAAUCACAAAGGUGGUUUUCCCUGGGCGAGGCUUAUCCUUUGACCUCCAGAUGUACUGACCCCUGAGAUAUUCCCAAGUGUGGGCAACUUAAUUGCUUAAUUUGUGGUAAUAGGGGACUGCAUUUGUGCUCUCCCCUG
Molecule: small nuclear RNA, 164 nt
Organism: Sorex fumeus (smoky shrew)
Lineage: Eukaryota; Metazoa; Chordata; Mammalia; Eulipotyphla; Soricidae
Product: U1 spliceosomal RNA
Exons: 1
Source: RefSeq, a predicted model, not a curated record